CCCCAAAUUUUGAACUUAAUCUGAUAUCGAUUGGCCCAAGAAAUUUGACAAUUCAGGUUCGUACGAAGUUCGUUCAGAAAUGGAGUGGUCGGUGUAUUGCAUAGUUCUAGAGAUUGGAUUUCAAUCAAAACAAACCAAAUGACACCUCCCACCACUUUAUGAUGUUCCCAAGGUUUUGGACACAAUCCGAUAUCGAUUGGGCCAUGAAAUUGGACAAUUCAAGUUCGUACGAUGUUCGUUCAAAAAUGGAGUGGUUGGUGUGUUGCAUAGUUCAGAGGUUGGAUUUCCCUCAAAACCAACCAAAUGACUCCUCCCACCAUAUUAUAAUGUUCCCCAACUUUUGGACUCAAUCCGAUAUCGAAU
This 363-nucleotide long non-coding RNA is filed under the name Prunus persica (peach). RNAcentral describes it as "long non-coding RNA (PPER_LNC002226)". Lineage: Eukaryota; Viridiplantae; Streptophyta; Magnoliopsida; Rosales; Rosaceae. The record is from RNAcentral.